RNAcentral lists this transfer RNA (71 nucleotides) under Marmota marmota marmota (Alpine marmot). It matches the Rfam family "tRNA". From Rfam's summary of the family: Transfer RNA (tRNA) molecules are approximately 80 nucleotides in length. RNAcentral also lists the same sequence under 2 other names. Lineage: Eukaryota; Metazoa; Chordata; Mammalia; Rodentia; Sciuridae. The record is from Rfam by way of RNAcentral.
GGGGAUAUAGCUCAGUUGGUAGAGUGCUUGCCUUUCAUGUACCAAGGCUCUGGGUUCAAUUCCCAGCACCA